UAGGGAAUCUUCCACAAUGGACGAAAGUCUGAUGGAGCAACGCCACGUGAGUGAAGAAGGGUUUCGGCUCGUAAAACUCUGUUGUUAAAGAAGAACAUAUCUGAGAGUAACUGUUCAGGUAUUGACGGUAUUUAACCAGAAAGCCACGGCUAACUACGUGCCAG
RNAcentral lists this ribosomal RNA (164 nucleotides) under uncultured bacterium. RNAcentral describes it as "partial 16S ribosomal RNA". It matches the Rfam family "Bacterial small subunit ribosomal RNA", at positions 355 to 511 of the family's 1533-position model. The record is from RNAcentral.